Molecule: long non-coding RNA, 7833 nt
Organism: Bombus terrestris (buff-tailed bumblebee)
Lineage: Eukaryota; Metazoa; Arthropoda; Insecta; Hymenoptera; Apidae
Exons: 2
Source: RefSeq, a predicted model, not a curated record
ACACAAAAUUUUGUCGGGCCGCAUAAUUCUAUUACAUAUUUUUACGUAUUAUAUUACGUAUUUUAUACUUAUACUUUGUUUAAUUAACGGUAACUACGAUAUCGUAGCGAUGAAAAUUGAAAAGAAGAAAUACCGACUUAUACCGACGUACAAAGCAUGACUUAGAUAAGAACUUACACGAGCUGACGAUCACGUAUCCGGAUGAUGCAGAAACAUAAUGCAUGUGCAAUGCGCACAUCUUGAGACUGAACGUGCGCUGACGUCAGUGGUUGUCGAUUUGAUCUAGGUGAAAUCGAUUUCGCUACCAAGGACGAAAUUCUACCGCUAUCGAUAUACUUGGCGUAAAACGCGAUAUCGAUCGUUAGACGAUUUAACAAGGAUUUCAAGGAUGUUCGAGAAAUGCGUUUUGCUUUAUUAUUUCUCAACAACGGGUCUGCUUGGUUUUCUGCUGCUACGAUUCGUAAGUAAUGGUUUUGAAUCUUAGUAUCGGCCGGUUCAACGACACUUUGUAUAAUUUCAAUAACGUUGGCGACCGGACAAACUUUCUCGCUUUGGUUAUCGUUUCUUUCGCGAGAUAAAAACCUGAAAAGUCGCCUUCGUUCUGUUUCAAGCGUCGUUUAUCAAACAGUACGAAUUAACGUAUCUGGUAGUUUCCUAAAUAUGCGGCGUCCGAAUGUUUCUCGCGUGUCGCGUUAUCUCGUAUAUUAUAGAGCGAAAUCAAAGAAAGAAUGGAAGAACGGACGAAAAUAGAAGUAGACGACAAGCUCUAAACUAUCGCGAUCUCGGAGGCGGCAGACUGAUACGUCGAGUUACAGAGGCCAGUAUAUGGUGUGUAGAGAAAGGGAAAGUCAAUCGGGUGAAAGUCGCUCGUCUGGAUAGUUUUACCUCCGUUUAUCCAACGUGUACACGAUCCUACACCACGAGACCACGAUCUUUCGCCCUCUGUUACGCUGCCUUUGCUCUUUUUCGAUUUCAUUCCUCUUGUACCCUUGUCUCUGGCUAACCGAGCAUUCUGUCACUCUGCUUCUGUGGCCGAUAUAAGAUUCCACGUUGAUAACAAACAUUUUUGUUUUUUAUAAAUUUACACUUUACGAUAAACGAUGUUAUGUUUAAUUAUUGCUGCGUGGUUAUCGGUAUGAUCUUUGCUCGUUUAAACAGAAUUUAGUUAAGCGAACUUGACCGAACCCACGAUGACCUAUUCGACUCGGCAUUCAACAAAAUAUCAUAUCAACCUACGAUAAUAACGAUAAAAGAGAUAACAGCUCGAAUUGAUAUCAUUUUGCAUUUCCAUAUCGUUUUAGGCAAUAUGUUAAACCAAAUUGUGUCUACAACUAACAAAAUUGACUCACCCGAACGUCUCGAACUUGGAGUACCUUAUCGAAUUAUGAAUCACGAAAUUAUUUAUUGCGAUCGUAGGUAUUUGGAAACUAAAUAUAUUAAACUAUCUGGUACUUGUGUACCAAAAUUUUCAUUUACUACGAUGAGAAAACGUUGCCUUAAAGUAUAUCGAUUUGGCUCUUAAAUAUUUAUUCGAACGAUCGAUAUGCUUCGAGAUAAUCCUAUGGAAAGAUUAGGCAAAAGUAAUUUAUUACGUUCUCAAGCCUAAGCGAUGCGAGUUAUGUUACUCGAAAGAAACGUCGAUAAAAGAGAAAUUCGUAACACUUAUGUAUUUCUUUUACCGCAGAAUUAACCAAUUGUAUACGAGAUUUUACGAGCAGAAAAAUGUUUCACGUUCUUACGCAAUAGAAAUUUAUCGCUUGUUUGAAAUUAACAUGACACGUGAAAGUGGUGAUCGACGUGGCGCCAGUCGUUAAAAAUGUGACAGAAUGAGAAAGUGAUUCUUCGUAAUAAGCGUGCGUUUGUCGCGGCCAUUAAUCGAUGUACGAAAUUGCUCGCGGAAUCGCUAAGCUGACGAUAUAUAAAAAUAUCGUUCGGUGAAAGCGUAAUUUAUACAGAGUCAGGGAAGAGAUUUCAAUUGUUUUAUAAAACUAACAUAAUUCGCUAUUUGGAAGUGUAUUUGCGUUAAUAGGCGGGAAACGAAAUAGAACUAGAGCCAUAAUUUCGUAAUCCUAUCCCCUGCCUUUGUCGAUGGCAACGAGGUAACGAUAAGAGAAACGAGAUGCGAUUAGUCGAAGAAUUCGUCUAUCGAGAUUUUGAUCUGUAGAUUUCAAUUUCGAUGUAUGCAACUUUAACGCGAGAGCAGCGUCAUAAAGCCAACUCUGCUUCCAUCGUUCAAACCGCGCGCUACCGAUAAGAAUCGGAGGCAAUCGGUACGUCUACAUCGACGCGUAUCCGUCUACGUAACGCGCUAAGAACCGCAUCCUUGCUUCACGUUGGAACGUUUCAAGGAAAUCGUGCAUCAUGCUGUACCCUGAAGCUCAUCUCGUUGUGCAAUUUUUUCUCGUAUACUCAUCACGAUCUAUCGUAACUUUACGCGUUUAACGACGAAAGAAAACUCGCCUGCGACAGAAAGUUUCAAAUAUCCCGCCAACGUGUAGCAGCAGGUCCGUUAAAAGACCGUUCGAUCUUUUAAAUGCCCUCCUAUUUGUGUAAAUUGUGCGAAUCCUCCGACGAAUAAGACGUGGAAAAGGAAAACCGUAGAAGAAACGCUAGGGAAGUUGCAGAGAAGCGAGAUCGCGUGGAAAUAAUCGCGGUGUUUCGCGUUGCGGCCUGAUGGUGGAUACCUCGUUGUGAAAAAAGUGGGAUCGCUAGAGAGAUAAGCUUGGCGGAAUGGCCGACGUGCGCGAUUUCGAGGGGUCAGUUUUCGCAUCGGCGGUAAAGAAGGCAAGCGGAUAACAAGUUUUUCGCACGGGGCACUACCGUGGGGCCGAGUUACGCGAGCUAACUCUUCUCUCCGUCCAGUUUGCUGAGCGCGGCGUGCAUUUACCCGUAUCGUUGCGCGACUACUUACCUGGCUGGCAGCGUGUCGCUGCCUUGGCCUUUAACGAUUCCUCGAACGAUCUCGCAGCUCCGAUUUCCAUCGAUUCGAUGCCGAUCUCCGCGACAAGCGCGCGCGGCUAUCCUUUUUCUUUCUUCUCUAUCGCGAAUUUCAACGGUUCGACUCGUUUCGACUCAUCCGGCCUCCGCCUUUCGAUAACUCGUUUCCGUCGUUUGUAAACAACGCCGAGCCGGCUGAUCGGACUUGACCAAUGGUAAACGAAAUCUCGCUGGAUCUUCGAUCAAACGGCAUUUACGUUACAUCGUGGCGGCGGUGAAAAUCGGCGUGCGUACAACAUGUCGGUAAAUUGUUAUCGUGGAUUCGGCCGAACGACGAUCUCUUACAAUUCUACGGCACUACGAUUAAUUAGACCGUACAGGUACGACAUAGGAGAAAAAAAUAACUAAUAAUACUUUCACUUUAGAUGCCUGACGAUUUACGUAAUCUUAGCCGCAAGUCAAACAUCGUUUUCUUUGCGUUCGAUCUUAAACGAGACAAACGAGAAUAGAAUCGCGUGCACUUUUAUUAGUAUCCGAUUAGUAUUUCGUCGCUUUGUUCUUCUUUUUUUUUUUUUUUUUUUUUUUUUGCUAUUUAUAUGCUGUAGAAUGGAAGUUUCGAAAAUACCUUUCUCUCGAUUAAACGGUCGAAUGCGUGCAAUGCAAUGACAAUGUCAAAACUUUCAUCUUUUUCGUAGUACGUAAUUACGUACGUAAACGCGUAAUAUCAUUUUAUUACGUAUUUGCAACGAUUACGUGCAAUUAUUUAAACAAAGUUAAUAGACGUUAGAAAGUCGGAAAGAGAAGAUCGUGCGAAAAAUUGAAAAUAUCGCUAAUAGCGAGGAAAGUUAAUUUAUCGAGAAACGAAGAUCGCUAUUAUCUUUAUUUGCUUGCUCUGUGUCACAGAAGAACAACUUCCAUAAGGAGGGAAAGGAACAGGAAAGAAAGAAACUUGUCGUUGCCAGUAAAAGAAAAAGGAGGAAAGAAAGAAAGGAAAGAAAAGAAAGAAAAAAGAGAAGAAAAGAGAAAAUAUAGGAGCAAGCAAGAGGAAUACGAUUAAAUUUCAUGCAACAGUGUGCCGAUCGAGAUGCCGAUCUUUUAGAAGCAACUACGUAAAUAUAAUUUUUAGAUUAAGAAAGCGAAUUCAUCAUCCGCCAUAUCCAGAUCGAUGCGUUUCUCGAACAGAGAAGAGACGAGCGAACUUAUACCGAAUAAGUGUGAAAUUUGCAUGGUAAGAGUUUCAACCACUUUCCUCCAUUAGCCGUUGUGAAUAAAAGCGAUUCGAUCUGGGGACCGUGCGGAACAAGAAACGAGCAACUGGAACAAAAUCCAUCGUCGAAAGUUUCGAAAGUGUCCGUGAAGACGUCGCGGUCGAUGGGCGAACGAGAGAAACGGCUAGAGGAGAGACAAAGAGGAAGAGAGACGUCUCGUUACCGCGAUUAAAGACAGAAUACGGUAACAAAAGCGAGGCAGGAAGAAAAGGAAAAGUUAGCCGAGUGUCCAACAGAUGAGAACGAUCGAGAGAAGAGGAAGAGCAGGCGGUAGAGGAUUCUUGAGACGAGAAUGUGCCGGGGCUAAUAAGAAAAUGCCAUGCUGAAAAUGUCACACGCUGAGCAGCGUGACGUCACGCUACAACUCGUUUCUGCUUGUUUUUACGCUUCUGUUGUGUCGUCGAAACAUAAUCUUUGAAGCGAGAGUUUCAAACGAAAACGAAUCCAGAAUUGUUUAGCAGUCGAGCAUGUAAAUGCCUGGCAAUGUACGUAUUUCCUUAAAAAUCGCUCGGAGAGAUCGUUUUUAUCAUAUGUCUUAAAAUCGAAACAAUUUACUUAGUAGCUUGUAUUAAACUAUACUUGGGCUAUAUCAAUCGCGCGUCUUUCCGUUGUGUUAGAACUUGACGAGUGUCGUGAAAGUAUCAAUGAGAAUAAAAUCACGAUACAAUCAGAUACGAUGAGAAUGAAAAGAUAAUAGAAAACACAGUGCAGUUUCGAAUAAUCUUUCCAACGUUCAUAGUUUUACCGCUGUGACUAACGUAAUUAUCGUGUUCUUGUGUCGUCAUUGUAACCCUGUUACCUUUAUCCUCUGAGCUGUUACAGAUUACCGAACGCGUAUCUGUGCCAUAAUUAUCGGUGUUUCUAUCUUUUCUAUUCUAUGACUAAAUGAGAGCAACGUUACUUUAAACAAGCUUGAGUAUAUUUUGUAAAAUACUUUUGUAAAAAUUAAAAUUAAAGGAAAAUCGGUAUAUCAAGGUUAUUCGAGGAUUCAAAUUUUAAAAAUUUUUCGCUCACUGUUGAGAAAUGUCUUAUGUAAAGAUUCUAAAGCCUAGCCUUAGAGAAAUCUUAGUUAUCGGUUGUUCGAUGAUUAUAAUGAUACGCUGCCGAUUCUCCUCUGUCGAUUGACUUUCAGGCAAGCGGCAACCGAUUUUUACAAAACUGCUCGCAGCUGUAACGCCAACGUAUCGGUCGAAGGAGGAAGUGACAUUUUGCGAAAGGAAAGCCGGAAGUUCCGACACGAGGUCGUUCGAGUAGGAAGCGAGGUUAUCGCCAAUUUUAUAGACACUCGAUGUCAAGUCAAGCACUACGAGAAGAUCGAGCAUGACUUACGAAUAUCUGUGAAAUGAUCGAUUCACCGCUUAUCGGAAAGGGGAACCGAACAAAAUAUUAUUCUAUUAAACUUUUAUAACUCACGUUACUAUCGAUUAGGAUCUUAAUGAAACGAUAACGGGAUACUAAUGUUUGCGUUAAAUCGAAAUUCCAAACAUGGUAAAGGAUAAAGGAAAUAAUUAACGGUCGAAUACCUGAAUUCUUUACCUAUAUCAACUUGAGAUUAUUAAUCGGCAAUUAUCGAUGAGACAUUAAAUACAAAAAAAAAGCUCAUUUAGAAUUCAAUAACGCGAUUCGCACAACGAAUAGAGUAAUAUGCUAGCGAAAAAUUGAUUUUUUAUACAAGCGAGUAACGUUUAUUACGUUAAAGGUAAAAAGUAAAGACUAACGCGCACUUGAAUUUCAUUUCUUUACUUAUUAUUCUAUUCUUUAUUUAUUUGUUAUUCUACUUUAGUUCUUGUAUAUUUGGAUCCAUUCGAUGGAAUUUCUUCGUUUGUAUCAGAAAGCAAUUACUUUCCCAUUUAUUUUUUUAUUUGAAAAUCUUUUAUACGACCGAUUAAUCUCUCGGUGGAUGUUAUCUUUCGCUUAUCUUCUUAAUAGUCCUUUUAACAUUUUCGAUUCAAAAUACUUUUCUAGCAACGGAACGCUAAAAUUAUCGUGUUUAUUUAUAAUCUGUAUCAUUUACCAAAAUAAAACCAUGACAUUCGGUCAAUUUGUUUAAGAAUUCAGCAUGAUCGAUCGAUACGAUCGGUGUCGCUAGUUAACCGGUGUAAUAAAAAUCCUUGUAUCUUUUAUCUGAUUACGGUCAUCGUGUUAUAAUCAACAUCGUUUGAUAGUAGCUUGGAAGUCAGGCUCUGUCCAAUUAGAGGAUGUCACGGUUUUUCCCAUGACAUACGGGCCUAUGAGGGUCUGUUCGCGAUAGAACCCUAAUACGGAGAAGGAGGGUUAAUGCUUUCAACCCCAAACAGAUUCUCAUGGAGUUAUAUAUAACGACUAAUGGGAGUCAGUUUUCGUUAUGGUGGCCUAGCUAUACGUUGGUAUAGAUAUAUCAGUUUGGAACAUGCGGGCUCUUUGUAGGCCAUACGUGUUCUAUAUGAACGAAUUGAAAUCUCCAUUUCCACUAUAAACGACAUCGCGCGCUACGUCGACUCGCGAAUGAAAUUCAAAAUCUUACCGUGUUUAUUUUUCAUUGACCACGUUUCUUUCAAGUUUUCUUUCAGUCUAUGCGUCAUUUUAUACCGUUUCUAGCUUUUCUACUGAAAACUUUUAGAAUUUGUUUGUACUCGUUUCUGCCGGUAAUAAGUUUUUUCUAAAAGUAGUACUCAGUGCUGCGUAGGUAACGAUGAAUAGUCGGAAUAUAUUAAGCAUGGAGCAAAAAAUAACAAUAGGUACCGUAAGGUGUAUACGUAUACCUUUAAACGUGGCCUACGUAAACAUAUUUUUAAUAUACAAUUUUUUUUUUUUUAUUACUCCAUACUUUUUAUUACGAUGUAUCUCGAACUAUAACGUCAAUACCUCUAACUUUAUGUCGCGAAAACUGCAACUGUUCGUAAAGGAUCGAGCGAAAAACGUUUCAUCCGUAGGAUGUAUGCGAGCGAAAGCGACAACAAUAAAUCGCCAUGUUUGCAUAUCGUGUCUUCUUCUUGCAAUUCAGCAUUCGUUAUCUUUUCCGAUAUUUGUAAAACCUAUACGUUACUCGUUCGAACGAGCUUGAAAUUUUCAAUGUUUGAAAUUUCACGAAAGGAUUUUUUUUUUUGUAUCAACGUAAAUCGACGUAUCGCGUUGUUACACCAUUUACGACACGUUCAAAUUGUCGUACGUAUAAUCGAACGCUAACAGUGGUUACUUACAAUCUACGACUUACAUCGUGCAUGAAUAGAAGCUCAAUUUCAUUCAUGCGACUCUUCUCGGUAUUCUAUCGCGCGGCUACAUUCGAGCUAUCCUAUCACACUGCAUUGAAUACCGCGAGUGCAAUAAUUACGCGGCCUUUCGUAUGUCAACGUAACGUUUGGUUAUCUUUUCGCCGUAUAUAAUCUAUAACGAAAGCUUAUGUUUAAUAACCAUCGUGCAUAAAUCAUCAAUUACAUAUCUAUGUUCGUAGACUUUUAUCUCUUUCGAUUUUUAUAAAUUAGCCAAAUACCCAUUACGAACGUUUGACAUGUUGUUAUCUAUAUGUUUGAAAGUUCAAGUGUGACCGAAGGAUACGAGAUUUAUGAGAAAUAUCUUUAUCCUGUGAAACGAAGUUCGUUUGUUAAGUGCUGCUUUCUCAAAUAAAUGAAUAUCGUCGUAAAGCUUCUUA